This 1094-nucleotide long non-coding RNA is filed under the name Pan troglodytes (chimpanzee). Its description in RNAcentral is "lncRNA (ENSPTRG00000053260.1)". The record is from RNAcentral. Lineage: Eukaryota; Metazoa; Chordata; Mammalia; Primates; Hominidae.
CAGAUCUUAAAGAUUUUCCGGAAGACAAUCUUGCUCUUCAACUGAGAAUCCUAUUUAAAUCGUAACCCUUGCAACCUUAGGCCAGUGAGGCUGCUUCUGUCUGAGAGAAGUAAUUAUUCAUCAACUUCCAUAAUUACAAAAUCUUAGAGCAGGCAAAGACCAUAUGGAGGUUGUUGAGUCCAACUUGAUUACUCAGAAGAAAAAUAGACACUAAUGUUGGGUUUCUGCAAAACCCAGUUUCCUUUCUACUUUAAUAUCUAGCAUUCUAUAUUUGUGAAGUUAAUAUCUUAGAUUAAGAAAAAAUUCAUCCUUGCACUCACCCGAACACGUAGCCUCACCUUAUGACAUCAUAGUCACCAUAGCAACACCCGUGAGUUGGCAGCAUAUUGCCUUCAGUGAGGGAUCAUGGCAAUGAGUUAACAAAGGAUGGCAGCUUCAGAUGUUGAUGUGAACAGGAAGGGAAGAAGUGGAAAAGGAGGAACAGGCAUCUGCAAUAAAAAAAAAAAAGUUUAGAAGACUAAUGAGUAACACUGCCUCUUUCUCUACAAUAUUCAGAACUUAUUGGUAAUAAGAUUCAAGAAGCACAUAAAUAAAGAUCAAACAUUUCAGGUUUACUACCAACAAAAGCUUUUGGGAUGAGAAAACAGGGAGUGGAGAAAUAGAAGCCUGGAAAGAGGAAACUAGAGGAAGAGAAACCACAGAGAGCAGUUUGAAGGCAGAAGCACGCCCACAGGGUGCUUUGGAGACCCUCCAGGCUGCAGAGAAGAGCAAGGUUGAAAAUCAAUGCAUCUGGUUCACCUUGAAUCUUGAGCUGCAUAUUUUUAGCAUCAGAAAAGCCUGUAUUGCCAGAAUUACUGGAGAAAAAGCAGAUAACCCCACAACGUCCUCCAGCCAAGGAGGAGGGCAGAGGGCUCAGAGGAGCAGAGUGCCUGCAGCUUAGAUGAUUCACCAGCCUUGAUUCUUACAGCAUGCAGGCUGGUGACUAUGACCCAGGGACCAUGAACCAUGAGUUAGAAUUUUCUGACAGAGUCCCUGAUCUCAGGCUACCAUUUUCUUUAAUAAUUGAGAUAAGCAUGGGAAGGAGGCUUAAAGUA